This 2522-nucleotide long non-coding RNA is filed under the name Capsicum annuum. RNAcentral describes it as "long non-coding RNA (CANN_LNC016215)". Lineage: Eukaryota; Viridiplantae; Streptophyta; Magnoliopsida; Solanales; Solanaceae. The record is from RNAcentral.
AUUAUUUAUUAUUUAUAUCGUCAUAAAAAUGGUUAUUUUAUUGUAAAUAACACUUUUUGAAAAAAAUGUUAAGAGAAUGUCAUGUUAAAAGUAUUCUAUCAAUUAUGAAAAACUAGGAUUUACGAGAAAAAUUAGUUUUCUUGAUUUUGAAGUAAAUUACUCUAACCCAAGUAGGCUAUUAGUCACAUGAACAAAAACAAACACCAUAUAAAAUAAAUAAAUAAAUAAAAUGUUUGACAAUUUUCUUUCUUUUCUUUUAAGAUUAGUUUUAGGAAAAAGAAUUGAAAGAACCGGUUUAAUUCAUUUAGGCGAGAUAAGUUAGGUAAGAAAAUUACGAAUCGACCAAAUGUCGUGAUAAAAAUAAAAUGGUGAUGCUUUUUGGAAAUUUAUUUAGAUUAAUUAGUUAGUGUCCAAAUAAAUACAAAUAAGUAAGAAUAGAAAAUAAAGAAAGAGUAAAAAUUGGGUCCUUUUGGACCAUUGCUGGGCUGCCCAGCUCUUGGGCCUAAGUCCCAUAAAUUUCAGUCCAUUAUUUCAGUUAAUAUCAUAUGUAUACUAUGGCCCUUCGUCCUUUGCGUUUUUAUAUACAUACAGUGUAUAUAUGACUGUAUUUCAGUCAUUUAUACACAACUUUAGUCCCCCAACUGUAUCACCAUCUUCAUACCACCAGUAUACCAGCCCUCACACUGCGUAUAUCGCUGUAUACCAAUGCAAAAACAGUCCUCUUGGGACUUGGUCUUGAGGUUUUGACUCGAGGAAGUGGGGGUUUGGCCCCCGAAAUGCAAGGGGGAGGGUCCCGUUGAUCCAUGUAGUUCAUGCAUUGCAAAGAAAAGAAAAAGAUUAGUACGUGAUGCAAUGAAGAUCAAACCUUGGAUGGACAAAUAGAACAAAGAAACACGUCUAAUUAUAUGAUUUUAACAUUCCGUCCAAGACAGCCUCUAUGGAGUGCAUUCUCAUCAAAGAAGAUAAAUUUUAGCAAGGAACAUGAAUCACAAAAAGAAAACCAUACAAAGUGAAAUAUUAUCUCAGAUUGGAGCCACGACACAAUACUAUGAUUAAUAAUUAAUUAAUGCCACUUUUCAUAUAAAAAGAAAGGGUAAUAAACUUAGUCAUCACGCAUAACAAAUCAAACCAAAUUAGAAUAGCAUGGCUAUGUUAAUAAAUAUUUGAAAAGUCAAAGAGGGGUUUUUAUAAUUAAACAUAAAGUCUUAGUCAUUUUUUAUUGAAUCUAGCAGAGAGAAGCGACCAAAGUCAGGAUACACUUCAAACAAGAUAAGAACCUUCCCUUUUUUAGAAUUCCAACAAAGAAAACAAAUAGAAUAUUCCAGAUUAGAUAAGCGACCAAAGUCAGGAUACACUUCAAACAAGAUAAGAACCUUCCCUUUUUUAGAAUUCCAACAAAGAAAACAAAUAGAAUAUUCCAGAUUAGAUAACGUCUCAUGCUUUCGGCGACCAUAAGGAAAAAUAACAUCGGCAAGAGAACAAUUUUUCAGGCUUGUGUUUCCAGAGGAAUAGUUGAAUAACCAUGCUACAGUAUGGGUCUGCAUAAUCGAAAUCAUUCCAACUUCUACGCAAAUAAUAAAAUCAAGAAAAUUUUAUAUUAAUAAAUCGUGCAUUAUGAAGAUUGACAGAAAGGAACUACCUUUUCCUGGGCAGCGAAAAGAACAGGAUGAGCUCUAAGUGAUCGGAAUUCCACCGAAAUUUAAUUGUUUGUGCAGGUGGUUCAAUUUCAACUUCAUCGGGAUUGAUUUUUCGAUGAAAUUUCUUCUUGAAUUCUUUGGUUACGUGGGAUUAGAGGACCGCUCCUCCCGAAUCUCCAAUUUUUCGCCAAAGAAUCCUCUCCCUUUUCUCUCUUCCUUCAACCUCUAUUUAUAGGGGAAAAGUUUUGGGAUUUUCAGACUUGAAAACUGAAAUUCAAGUGAUUUCUUCAGAAAUUUUGAAAUCCACUUUGGGACAAAAAGAAGAGUCGUUGAGCAUUAAUUGCUUACCCAAAAUGGUGAAUUAAAGACUGAGAAAGAUGAAAGUUAUCUGAUUUUAGCCAUAAAUGGCUGUACAAUGAGGGAAAAAUGGUAAAAAAAAGCGUAUGGGUUUUGCCGUGGUUGACUGGCCGUGACGCCGUUUUUGGCUGUGGGUUAGGGACGUUUGGUCACUGUUUUGCUUUUGUACGCCGUUGUUGUACUGUUGUCAUUGUUUGAUGAUGAGGAAAAAGGAAAAGAAAGGAGGUGGGCCGGGUUGAUUGUUAUGAUGUUGGGCUAGGCUGAAAUAGAGUGGGUUGGUGGGUGUUUGUGGAGCUGGUUGGGUUGUAAGGUGCUAUUGGGUCAGCUGGUGAGUAAUUGGGCUGGGAAGUUGUUGUUUGCUGGGCCUGGGCGGGCAAUUUGGUUAAAAGGGAAAUGGGUUGGUUAGGGAACCAAUUAAAAAUUGUAACCAUUCCAUAUAAAUAAGAAUGACCACAAUUGAAUAGAUUGGACGAAAUUAACUUUUAAUUAAUUUAACGAAUUUCUCAAAUUUAAUAACUUCAAAAUAAA